RNAcentral lists this ribosomal RNA (646 nucleotides) under uncultured bacterium. Its description in RNAcentral is "bacterial SSU rRNA". It matches the Rfam family "Bacterial small subunit ribosomal RNA", at positions 59 to 715 of the family's 1533-position model. The record is from RNAcentral.
AAGCACCUUGAUUUGAUUCUUCGGAUGAAGAUCCUGGUGACUGAGUGGCGGACGGGUGAGUAACGCGUGGGUAACCUGCCUCAUACAGGGGGAUAACAGUUAGAAAUGACUGCUAAUACCGCAUAAGACCACAGCACCGCAUGGUGCAGGGGUAAAAACUCCGGUGGUAUGAGAUGGACCCGCGUCUGAUUAGGUAGUUGGUGGGGUAACGGCCUACCAAGCCGACGAUCAGUAGCCGACCUGAGAGGGUGACCGGCCACAUUGGGACUGAGACACGGCCCAAACUCCUACGGGAGGCAGCAGUGGGGAAUAUUGCACAAUGGGGGAAACCCUGAUGCAGCGACGCCGCGUGAGCGAUGAAGUAUUUCGGUAUGUAAAGCUCUAUCAGCAGGGAAGAAAAUGACGGUACCUGACUAAGAAGCACCGGCUAAAUACGUGCCAGCAGCCGCGGUAAUACGUAUGGUGCAAGCGUUAUCCGGAUUUACUGGGUGUAAAGGGAGCGUAGACGGAGUGGCAAGUCUGAUGUGAAAACCCGGGGCUCAACCCCGGGACUGCAUUGGAAACUGUCAAUCUGGAGUACCGGAGAGGUAAGCGGAAUUCCUAGUGUAGCGGUGAAAUGCGUAGAUAUUAGGAGGAACACCAGUGG